RNAcentral lists this ribosomal RNA (253 nucleotides) under uncultured bacterium. RNAcentral's name for it is "partial 16S ribosomal RNA". It matches the Rfam family "Bacterial small subunit ribosomal RNA", at positions 524 to 776 of the family's 1533-position model. The record is from RNAcentral.
GACGGAGGAUGCGAGCGUUAUCCGGAAUCACUGGGCGUAAAGCGUCUGUAGGUGGUCAAAUAAGUCAACUGUUAAAUCUUGAGGCUCAACCGCAAAAUCGCAUUCGAACCUAGUAGACUAGAGUAUAGUAGGGGUAAAGGGAAUUUCCAGUGGAGCGGUGAAAUGCGUAGAGAUUGGAAAGAACACCGAUGGCGAAGGCUCUUUACUGGGCUAUUACUAACACUGAGAGACGAAAGCUAGGGUAGCAAAUGGG